CACCGGUCUAAAAAAUGCAGUGCGAUGAUGGGGGUGGUGUCUCUAAUGUACGUGUUGAUCCCCCACCGCAACCACCGCUUCUGGGCGAGUCGUGCGUGCGUGCAGAUAUACAGCGAUAUCAUUGCUGCUGCCGACGUACACACCCAUCUUUUCUUUUACCAUCAGCACAGAUACAAGCGCUUAUAUACAAACGCAUACACUCACCUCUAUAAACGCAUACACGCACACCCUACCCCUUAGGAGCACCUUUAAGAGACUGAGCCGGCAUAUCAUCUUAAGAUUUACGAAGCUAUCAUAGACGCCUCGUCGUCGACAGGAACGUCUCCUCCCACUGAAAGCGCAUCGCCGGAAAUUCUGAACGUCUCGAGCACCAAUUCGAGCAUGCUGCAAGCCUGCAACACAUCUCGACGCCUCAUCCAGCCCCAGCUCUGCCGCACCGCACCGCAACCCUAGCCGCCGCCGGAGCACGCCGCGACGCCGUCGACGGAGAGCACGCCGUGACGCCGUCCACGGAGAGCGCGCCGCGAGGACGCCCACGAAGAGCAGGACGGUACGCCGCGACGCCGUCGACGGAGCACACAGCCAGGGCGCCACCGACGCUGCCGGAGCCAGCCGUUGGGACCUCACCAGCGUUCGUGGAGCCUACCGGCCGUCCGCAGAGCCCUGCGUCAAGGGAUCGACUGCUCGGGGAACUGGCUCAUCAGGUCCAGUUCAGAGAAAUGGAAAGAAAGACUUUGCACAAUUGGUUUGCAAGCACUUCGAACACCCCCCCAUGUUGUUGUUUCUGAACCAGCAGCAACACAAAUUCUGAACUUGAACCCUCUUACUCCAACAAUUGAGAGCAGCAAUCCCCCAACAGAUGAGAGCACUAUCCCUCCUUCAAACGAGAGCACUACCCCCCCUUCAAUCGAGAGCACCAACCCCCCAAUUGAUGAGAGCACAAACCAACCACCAACACCUAGGCUUCUUAUCCAAGAGUUUCACCCAAGUCAAAUUUUUGGUGAUCCGGCAGAUCGAAUACCAAUAGAAGAUUAUGCCCCUGAAAUUCCAAGUGAAGUUAGAAGAGCUGAUUUGUUGAAAGGAAGAAACAAAACUGAAGGGCAUAAUUUUGAAAUCACAUUGGAUGGUACAAUCCGGAGAUUAUCUCCCCUUGAUAGAAGAGCUUACUGCUGAUUUCUUCAAUUAUCUCCCUUUGAUAGUGACUCAGGUGGGUUCAUCUUCCAAGAGAAAAGAUGCAUUACUUGCAAAGCAUCACGAUGAUUUGAUGAAAUUGAUGGAGCAUGGUAAGAUUAUAGCUGGAACUGGGUUACAUCAAGAAACUAACCUUUCUAGACCAGGAGCUACUCGUUGGGGCUCACAUCUUAAAACCUUGCUUUGUAUUUACACAAUGUGGAAUGCAGUGGUCGAUGUGCUAGCAAUCGUGGUUGACGAUGCACGAGAACACACUUGUCAAGGUGGAGCUCCAGGUUUGAUCAUAAAGAUGGAAUGUUUCCAAUUUGUGUUUAUCAUGUUAUUCUUAAUAAACUUGUUGCAAACCACAAAUAUGCUAUCACAAGCUUUGCAAAGGAAGAAACAUGAUGUUGUUGAAGCCAUGCAUUUGAUCUCGGAUGUGAAAGAAACUUUGCAAGAUAUGAGGGACAAUGGAUAUGAGUCAUUAUGCAGCCAAGCCAAGAUCUUUUGUGAGGAACAUGGCAUUGUUCGCACUAAAAAUAAGGUGACUCGACAUCACUAUUUCAUAGCAUAUUCUAUGUUGUUAUUGAUGCAACUAUGACCGAGAUGAACCAUCGGUUCAAUGAAAUUAACACUGAGCUAGUGGAUUGCAUGUCCUGUUUUAAUCCAGCCAACAACUUUGCAAAGUUUAAUGUUGACAAACUUAUCCGGCUUGCUGAAAUUUAUGCGGAUGAUUUUACAGAAACUGACCGGUUGUUGCUUAGAAUUGACCUUCCAAGAUUCCUUAGAAAUAUCAGGAGAAGUGAGGAAUUUAAUGGAUGUUCGGAUGUUUCCACCCUUGCUCAGUUGAUGGUUCAAUCAACAAAACAUGCAACUUUCCCAACAGUAUAUCGCCUCAUCGAGUUGACAUUGAUCCACCCCGUGGCAACUUCAUCUGUUGAGCGAAUAUUUUCAGCAAUGAAGAUCAUCAAAAUAGAUUUGCGCAAUAAGAUCUCGGAUGAUUGGCUCAAUGACUUAAUGGUGUGCUAUUGUGAGAAAAGGAUAUUCAAAAGUAUUCAUGAUGAUCAGAUCAUGAUACAAUUCCAGAGAAAGAGUGAUCGGAAAGCUCACUUGCCUCGUGAGUAUAAUGUGAUUGCUUAAGAGAUGGCAUGGCGUUUGGGAUCUGAAGCAUAUAAUCUAUAUAGUUCUACAGUAGCAUUGGUUAGAAGCAAAACCGGCAUCAUUGGUUUCGUCUUUCUUUUUGUUGCUUCUGUAGUACUUUAUCUAUUGCUGUGUGAAUUGUAUGCUUUUGAAUCGAAAGUUUGUGGUAUGACCAAAUGUGUUACUACUUACUAGUAUUGGUGUUGUAAAAUAUCAUGUCGUUUUGAGCUCAUAUUUGGCACCUUUUGGCUGUUUAAAUUGACCAUACCAAUUUUUACC
Non-coding RNA from Aegilops tauschii subsp. strangulata, 2589 nucleotides. Lineage: Eukaryota; Viridiplantae; Streptophyta; Magnoliopsida; Poales; Poaceae. The record is from RefSeq and is a predicted model, not a curated record.